CUCGUAGGCGGUUCGUCGCGUCCGGUGUGAAAGUCCGGGGCUCAACUCCGGAUCUGCGGUGGGUACGGGCAGACUAGAGUGAUGUAGGGGAGACUGGAAUUCCUGGUGUAGCGGUGAAAUGCGCAGAUAUCAGGAGGAACACCGAUGGCGAAGGCAGGUCUCUGGGCAUUAACUGACGCUGAGGAGCGAAAGCAUGGGGAGCGAACA
This 207-nucleotide ribosomal RNA is filed under the name uncultured bacterium. Its description in RNAcentral is "partial 16S ribosomal RNA". It matches the Rfam family "Bacterial small subunit ribosomal RNA", at positions 568 to 774 of the family's 1533-position model. The record is from RNAcentral.